This is a long non-coding RNA of Brassica napus (rape), 791 nucleotides long. RefSeq lists it as uncharacterized. The record is from RefSeq and is a predicted model, not a curated record. Lineage: Eukaryota; Viridiplantae; Streptophyta; Magnoliopsida; Brassicales; Brassicaceae. The transcript is spliced from 2 exons.
ACAAAAAGAAGAAAAAUAUCGAAGAUAGAUAAGAUUGGCACGUGAACAUAAACUUCUCAUAACCAUAAUUAACUUUUAAGUUGCUAAAUAAUAAUAUAAAACUGUGCUGACAUAGUUUCAUUGUAACCAAAUAGUAGGCAUGAGAUUCUUCAACCCAAACGUUAGAUUUUUAUGCGAUAAAUAGUUUUUUGACCUAAAAUAUUUUUAAAAAUAUGAUCAGUUCAUUAGUAAACAAAUUAUGUAAUUAACAAAAUAGUUUUUAAAAAAUAUUUAAGAACCAAAUAUAUUAAUUUGAUCAAUAAUAUAAUUUUUUCAUACAAUAUUUCUUAAAUAAUUUUAUAUAAAUUUACCAUGCGCAAGCGCAGGUCUUAUCCUAGUAUAGUAAUAUAGCAAUAAGUCGUAUGUGGACCUUGAAUGAGUGUGGCAUAUUUUGUAAUUAGUUUAGUAAUGAAUGGAGGAUAAAUUAAUAGUGUGAGAAUCAUUGUUAGCAUGCCACCUCAGCAUGACAUGGUUGUAAAUAAGUUACAGUUUAAAGGUUACUCCUUUAAAAUGUUUAUCUAUUAAUAAGAAAAGGAUUACCUUUUCUUAUUAGAGUUUAAAACCAUUAUCAAUUCACUUCUGUCAAAUAUGAUGAAGAAAACCCCUCAACUCUCGUUUACAGUCUUGACUAUCUUCAUCAUUCUUGUGCUAGGAAUGAUGGCAAAUGCAAAUAAAAAAGAAAAUGAACUAUUUUGUAAUGUCCAAGACCACCACUUUGUAAAAAAAAAUGAGUCGUGUGCUGAUUCUGAAUG